CGAGCUGUUGUGAAUCCUGCCCACUUCUUUGCAUGGUCAGCACAUGCUUCAGUGCUCUGAGAGUGUUUAUAGAGCUGUGAGUUUAACACUUCAUGACUGAGAGCAGAACAGAACACAAUCUUCAUCAUCACACAAGACACAACAACAACAAUGAACAACAUCAUCAUCCUCAUCUGGACCAUUGCAGCUUUUAUUCAAGAAUCCAGAGGAAUCACUGUGACUCAGCCUAAAGUUAAAACUGUCCAGCUCGGUCAAACAGCUACAAAAGAGUGUAGUACAGAUCCAGGAAUAUAUUAUAGCAACUUAGCCUGGUAUCAGCAGAAACCUGGAGAAGCUCCUAAACUCCUCAUAUAUCAAAUAAAAACCCUCCAGUCAGGAACUCCAUCUAGAUUCAGUGGCAGUGGAUCUAGCGGAGGAAAAGAUUUCACUCUGACCAUCAGUGGAGUCCAGACUGAAGAUACAGGAGAUUAUUACUGUCAGAGUGAACACUGGAUCAGUAGUAGCUGGGUGUUCACACAGUGAUAAAGAGUCGUACAAAAACCUCCGUCAGUCAGAGUCACAGUGACUGCACUGAUACAGCUGAGAGACACUGCAGCUUGAGGAGAUACAGUUUGUAACAAACAGCAGUUUCAUCACAAUACAAUAUAACAUAGAUUCUUGUUUUUUAUUAUAUGAUUUGACAUUUGUUAUUAUAGCAAAACAUGUCACGAUAAGAUUAUGAUUUGAUUAACACAGCACACAUUACAGCCAUAAAUAA
This is a non-coding RNA of Carassius auratus (goldfish), 757 nucleotides long. The record is from the annotation of a RefSeq genome assembly. Lineage: Eukaryota; Metazoa; Chordata; Actinopteri; Cypriniformes; Cyprinidae.